AGAGUUUGAUCCUGGCUCAGGACGAACGCUGGCGGCGUGCUUAACACAUGCAAGUCGAACGGUAAGGCCCUUCGGGGUACACGAGUGGCGAACGGGUGAGUAACACGUGGGUAAUCUGCCCUGCACAUCGGGAUAAGCCUGGGAAACUGGGUCUAAUACCGAAUAGGACCACAGGACACAUGUCCUGUGGUGGAAAGCUUUUGCGGUGUGGGAUGGGCCCGCGGCCUAUCAGCUUGUUGGUGGGGUGAUGGCCUACCAAGGCGACGACGGGUAGCCGGCCUGAGAGGGUGUCCGGCCACACUGGGACUGAGAUACGGCCCAGACUCCUACGGG
Molecule: ribosomal RNA, 333 nt
Filed under: uncultured Mycobacterium sp.
Lineage: Bacteria; Bacillati; Actinomycetota; Actinomycetes; Mycobacteriales; Mycobacteriaceae
Description: bacterial SSU rRNA
Rfam family: Bacterial small subunit ribosomal RNA
Source: RNAcentral